UUUUCUGCAGCAGGACGAGGAAAUGCAAUCGUCUCCAAAUGAAAGACAACAGCGAAGCAGAUCCUCUGUGAAGGAGGAGGCCCGUCUGAUGGAGCUGUUCGUCCAUCGGUGGUCGUUUGUCGUCAGAUCCAGUAGAUCCAGAGAUGUGGGUGUAGACGACAUCAGGAGGAGACGUCAGUGAUGGACCUGUGAGGACCAGAACCCAGACCCCAGACCAGACCCUCCCACAAAACCUGAAUGACCCCUCUGGAAUCUGA
This is a long non-coding RNA of Sphaeramia orbicularis (orbiculate cardinalfish), 257 nucleotides long. RefSeq lists it as uncharacterized. Lineage: Eukaryota; Metazoa; Chordata; Actinopteri; Kurtiformes; Apogonidae. The transcript has 3 exons. The record is from RefSeq and is a predicted model, not a curated record.